RNAcentral lists this ribosomal RNA (253 nucleotides) under uncultured bacterium. Its description in RNAcentral is "partial 16S ribosomal RNA". It matches the Rfam family "Bacterial small subunit ribosomal RNA", at positions 524 to 776 of the family's 1533-position model. The record is from RNAcentral.
GACAGAGGUCCCGAGCGUUAGGCGGAAUCACUGGGCUUAAAGCGUGUGUAGGCGGAUGCCUAAGUACCUUGUGAAAUCCCACGGCUCACCCGUGGAACUGCUUGGUAUACUGGGUGUCUUGAGCCACUUAGGGGCUACCGGAACAAAUGGUGGAGCGGUGAAAUGCGUAGAUAUCAUUUGGAACGCCAAUGGUGAAAACAGGUAGCUGGGAGUGUGCUGACGCUGAGACACGAAAGCCAGGGGAGCAAACGAG